UACGAAGGGGGCUAGCGUUGUUCGGAAUCACUGGGCUUAAAGGGUGCGUAGGCGGGAUCUUAAGUCAGGGGUGAAAUCCCGAGGCUCAACCUCGGAAAUGCCUUUGAUACUGAGGUCCUUGAGUCCGGAAGAGGUGAGUGGAACUGCGAGUGUAGAGGUGAAAUUCGUAGAUAUUCGCAAGAACACCGGUGGCGAAGGCGGCUCACUGGUCCGGAACUGACGCUGAGGCACGAAAGCGUGGGGAGCAAACAGG
RNAcentral lists this ribosomal RNA (253 nucleotides) under uncultured bacterium. RNAcentral's name for it is "partial 16S ribosomal RNA". It matches the Rfam family "Bacterial small subunit ribosomal RNA", at positions 524 to 776 of the family's 1533-position model. The record is from RNAcentral.